Molecule: ribosomal RNA, 1026 nt
Filed under: Bacillus pumilus
Lineage: Bacteria; Bacillati; Bacillota; Bacilli; Caryophanales; Bacillaceae
Description: bacterial SSU rRNA
Rfam family: Bacterial small subunit ribosomal RNA
Source: RNAcentral
AGGUCGAGCGGACAGAAGGGAGCUUGCUCCCGGAUGUUAGCGGCGGACGGGUGAGUAACACGUGGGUAACCUGCCUGUAAGACUGGGAUAACUCCGGGAAACCGGAGCUAAUACCGGAUAGUUCCUUGAACCGCAUGGUUCAAGGAUGAAAGACGGUUUCGGCUGUCACUUACAGAUGGACCCGCGGCGCAUUAGCUAGUUGGUGGGGUAAUGGCUCACCAAGGCGACGAUGCGUAGCCGACCUGAGAGGGUGAUCGGCCACACUGGGACUGAGACACGGCCCAGACUCCUACGGGAGGCAGCAGUAGGGAAUCUUCCGCAAUGGACGAAAGUCUGACGGAGCAACGCCGCGUGAGUGAUGAAGGUUUUCGGAUCGUAAAGCUCUGUUGUUAGGGAAGAACAAGUGCGAGAGUAACUGCUCGCACCUUGACGGUACCUAACCAGAAAGCCACGGCUAACUACGUGCCAGCAGCCGCGGUAAUACGUAGGUGGCAAGCGUUGUCCGGAAUUAUUGGGCGUAAAGGGCUCGCAGGCGGUUUCUUAAGUCUGAUGUGAAAGCCCCCGGCUCAACCGGGGAGGGUCAUUGGAAACUGGGAAACUUGAGUGCAGAAGAGGAGAGUGGAAUUCCACGUGUAGCGGUGAAAUGCGUAGAGAUGUGGAGGAACACCAGUGGCGAAGGCGACUCUCUGGUCUGUAACUGACGCUGAGGAGCGAAAGCGUGGGGAGCGAACAGGAUUAGAUACCCUGGUAGUCCACGCCGUAAACGAUGAGUGCUAAGUGUUANGGGGUUUCCGCCCCUUAGUGCUGCAGCUAACGCAUUAAGCACUCCGCCUGGGGAGUACGGUCGCAAGACUGAAACUCAAAGAAUUGACGGGGCCCGCACAAGCGGUGGAGCAUGUGGUUUAAUUCUAGCAACGCGAGAACUUACCAGUCUUGACAUCCUCUGACACCUAGAGAUAGGGCUUUCCUUCGGGAAGACAGUGGCAUGAUGUCGUCAGCUCGUGUCGAUGUGGGUAGUCCGCACGA